CUGGCGGCGUGCCUAAUACAUGUCAAGUCGAACGGCUUUUCUAUGGAAGCUUGCUUCCACUGAGAAGAUAGUGGCGAACGGGUGAGUAACACGUGGGUAACCUGCCCAUAAGAGGGGGAUAACAUCCGGAAACGGGUGCUAAUACCGCAUAGUUUCUUGAUCGCAUGAUCGGGAAAGGAAAGACGGCCUUUGUGCUGUCGCUUAUGGAUGGACCCGCGGCGUAUUAGUUAGUUGGUGAGGUAACGGCUCACCAAGACGAUGAUACGUAGCCGACCUGAGAGGUGAUCGGCCACAUUGGACUGAGACACGGCCCAAACUCCUACGGGAGGCAGCAGUAGGGAAUCUUCCGCAAUGGACGAAAGUCUGACGGAGCAACGCCGCGUGAGUGAAAGAAGGUUUUCGGAUCGUAAAACUCUGUUGUCAGAGAAGAACAAGUUGGAGAGUAACUGCUCCAGCCUUGACGGUAUCUGACCAGAAAGCCACGGCUAACUACGUGCCAGCCGCCGC
RNAcentral lists this ribosomal RNA (507 nucleotides) under uncultured bacterium. RNAcentral describes it as "bacterial SSU rRNA". It matches the Rfam family "Bacterial small subunit ribosomal RNA", at positions 36 to 518 of the family's 1533-position model. The record is from RNAcentral.